RNAcentral lists this ribosomal RNA (253 nucleotides) under uncultured bacterium. RNAcentral's name for it is "partial 16S ribosomal RNA". It matches the Rfam family "Bacterial small subunit ribosomal RNA", at positions 524 to 776 of the family's 1533-position model. The record is from RNAcentral.
UACGGAGGGCGCGGGCGUUAAUCGGAAUUACUGGGCGUAAAGCGCGCGUAGGCUGUUGUGUAAGUUGGGGGUGAAAUCCCACGGCUCAACCGUGGAACAGCCCUUGAUACUGCGCGACUUGAAUCCGGGAGAGGGUGGCGGAAUUCCAGGUGUAGGAGUGAAAUCCGUAGAUAUCUGGAGGAACAUCAGUGGCGAAGGCGGCCACCUGGACCGGUAUUGACGCUGAGGCGCGAAAGCGUGGGGAGCAAACAGG